AUUGAACGCUGGCGGCAGGCCUAACACAUGCAAGUCGAGCGGAUGAAGGGAGCUUGCUCCUGGAUUCAGCGGCGGACGGGUGAGUAAUGCCUAGGAAUCUGCCUGGUAGUGGGGGAUAACGUCCGGAAACGGGCGCUAAUACCGCAUACGUCCAGAGGGAGAAAGUGGGGGAUCUUCGGACCUCACGCUAUCAGAUGAGCCUAGGUCGGAUUAGCUAGUUGGUGGGGUAAAGGCCUACCAAGGCGACGAUCCGUAACUGGUCUGAGAGGAUGAUCAGUCACACUGGAACUGAGACACGGUCCAGACUCCUACGGGAGGCAGCAGUGGGGAAUAUUGGACAAUGGGCGAAAGCCUGAUCCAGCCAUGCCGCGUGUGUGAAGAAGGUCUUCGGAUUGUAAAGCACUUUAAGUUGGGAGGAAAGGCAGUAAGUUAAUACCUUGCUGUUUUGACGUUACCAACAGAAUAAGCACCGGCUAACUUCGUG
This 484-nucleotide ribosomal RNA is filed under the name uncultured bacterium. RNAcentral describes it as "partial 16S ribosomal RNA". It matches the Rfam family "Bacterial small subunit ribosomal RNA", at positions 30 to 507 of the family's 1533-position model. The record is from RNAcentral.